Molecule: ribosomal RNA, 430 nt
Filed under: uncultured bacterium
Lineage: Bacteria
Description: partial 16S ribosomal RNA
Rfam family: Bacterial small subunit ribosomal RNA
Source: RNAcentral
UGGGGAAUUUUGGACAAUGGGCGCAAGCCUGAUCCAGCCAUGCCGCGUGCGGGAAGAAGGCCUUCGGGCUGUAAACCGCUUUUGUCAGGGAAGAAAUCUUCUGAGUUAAUACCUCGGGAGGAUGACGGUACCUGAAGAAUAAGCACCGGCUAACUACGUGCCAGCAGCCGCGGUAAUACGUAGGGUGCAAGCGUUAAUCGGAAUUACUGGGCGUAAAGCGUGCGCAGGCGGUUUUGUAAGACAGAGGUGAAAUCCCCGGGCUCAACCUGGGAACUGCCUUUGUGACUGCAAGGCUUGAGUGCGGCAGAGGGGGAUGGAAUUCCGCGUGUAGCAGUGAAAUGCGUAGAUAUGCGGAGGAACACCGAUGGCGAAGGCAAUCCCCUGGGCCUGCACUGACGCUCAUGCACGAAAGCGUGGGGAGCAAACAGGA